This 1686-nucleotide ribosomal RNA is filed under the name Klebsiella pneumoniae subsp. pneumoniae 12-3578. RNAcentral's name for it is "bacterial LSU rRNA". It matches the Rfam family "Bacterial large subunit ribosomal RNA", at positions 1260 to 2925 of the family's 2925-position model. Lineage: Bacteria; Pseudomonadati; Pseudomonadota; Gammaproteobacteria; Enterobacterales; Enterobacteriaceae. The record is from RNAcentral.
CCUGUGAGGGUUGCUGGAGGUAUCAGAAGUGCGAAUGCUGACAUAAGUAACGAUAAAGCGGGUGAAAAGCCCGCUCGCCGGAAGACCAAGGGUUCCUGUCCAACGUUAAUCGGGGCAGGGUGAGUCGACCCCUAAGGCGAGGCCGAAAGGCGUAGUCGAUGGGAAACAGGUUAAUAUUCCUGUACUUGGUGUUACUGCGAAGGGGGGACGGAGAAGGCUAUGUUAGCCGGGCGACGGUUGUCCCGGUUUAAGCAUGUAGGCUGAUUAUCCAGGCAAAUCCGGAUAAUCAAGGCUGAGGUGUGAUGACGAGGCACUACGGUGCUGAAGUAACAAAUGCCCUGCUUCCAGGAAAAGCCUCUAAGCAUCAGGUAACAUCAAAUCGUACCCCAAACCGACACAGGUGGUCAGGUAGAGAAUACCAAGGCGCUUGAGAGAACUCGGGUGAAGGAACUAGGCAAAAUGGUGCCGUAACUUCGGGAGAAGGCACGCUGGUGUGUAGGUGAAGUCCCUGCGGAUGGAGCUGAGACCAGUCGAAGAUACCAGCUGGCUGCAACUGUUUAUUAAAAACACAGCACUGUGCAAACACGAAAGUGGACGUAUACGGUGUGACGCCUGCCCGGUGCCGGAAGGUUAAUUGAUGGGGUUAUCCGUAAGGAGAAGCUCUUGAUCGAAGCCCCGGUAAACGGCGGCCGUAACUAUAACGGUCCUAAGGUAGCGAAAUUCCUUGUCGGGUAAGUUCCGACCUGCACGAAUGGCGUAAUGAUGGCCAGGCUGUCUCCACCCGAGACUCAGUGAAAUUGAACUCGCUGUGAAGAUGCAGUGUACCCGCGGCAAGACGGAAAGACCCCGUGAACCUUUACUAUAGCUUGACACUGAACAUUGAGCCUUGAUGUGUAGGAUAGGUGGGAGGCUUUGAAGCGUGGACGCCAGUCUGCGUGGAGCCAACCUUGAAAUACCACCCUUUAAUGUUUGAUGUUCUAACGUUGGCCCCUUAUCGGGGUUGCGGACAGUGUCUGGUGGGUAGUUUGACUGGGGCGGUCUCCUCCCAAAGCGUAACGGAGGAGCACGAAGGUUAGCUAAUCCUGGUCGGACAUCAGGAGGUUAGUGCAAUGGCAUAAGCUAGCUUGACUGCGAGCGUGACGGCGCGAGCAGGUGCGAAAGCAGGUCAUAGUGAUCCGGUGGUUCUGAAUGGAAGGGCCAUCGCUCAACGGAUAAAAGGUACUCCGGGGAUAACAGGCUGAUACCGCCCAAGAGUUCAUAUCGACGGCGGUGUUUGGCACCUCGAUGUCGGCUCAUCACAUCCUGGGGCUGAAGUAGGUCCCAAGGGUAUGGCUGUUCGCCAUUUAAAGUGGUACGCGAGCUGGGUUUAGAACGUCGUGAGACAGUUCGGUCCCUAUCUGCCGUGGGCGCUGGAGAAUUGAGGGGGGCUGCUCCUAGUACGAGAGGACCGGAGUGGACGCAUCACUGGUGUUCGGGUUGUCAUGCCAAUGGCACUGCCCGGUAGCUAAAUGCGGAAGAGAUAAGUGCUGAAAGCAUCUAAGCACGAAACUUGCCCCGAGAUGAGUUCUCCCUGAGACUUUAAGUCUCCUGAAGGAACGUUGAAGACGACGACGUUGAUAGGCCGGGUGUGUAAGCGCAGCGAUGCGUUGAGCUAACCGGUACUAAUGAACCGUGAGGCUUAACCUU